GAGUUUGAUCCUGGCUCAGGGUAAACGCUGGCGGCGUGCCUAAAACAUGCAAGUCGCACGAGAGCUUCGGCUCUAGUGGCAGACGGCUGAGUAACACGUGGAUGACCUGCCCAACUGUGGGGAAUAACUGCCCGAAAGGGUGGCUAAUACCGCAUGCGCUUACUGAUUCGAUUCAGUAAGGAAAGUCAGCGAUGUCGCAGCUGGAGGGGUCCGCGGCCGAUUAGCCAGUUGGUGGGGGUAACGGCCUACCAAAGCGACGAUCGGUAGCUGGU
Molecule: ribosomal RNA, 272 nt
Filed under: uncultured Clostridia bacterium
Lineage: Bacteria; Bacillati; Bacillota; Clostridia
Description: partial 16S ribosomal RNA
Rfam family: Bacterial small subunit ribosomal RNA
Source: RNAcentral